Molecule: transfer RNA, 94 nt
Filed under: Alloalcanivorax dieselolei
Lineage: Bacteria; Pseudomonadati; Pseudomonadota; Gammaproteobacteria; Oceanospirillales; Alcanivoracaceae
Description: tRNA-Val
Source: RNAcentral
CGCUGCCAGACUGGUUGAUGAGGGCGGGGCGUAACUCGCUUUCAGUGUAUGUGCUGCAAGGUAUUCUCGCCGGUGCCGUGUUCGGCGGCUACGG